GUGCGGACGGUCGGUAGUUGAAGAAGUUUAGGGAUUGAGAUGAGGCGGAAUAGAGCGUAUUCAUGGAACAGAGUGCUUGAUACCAUGUUGAAAAACAGAACAAAUAGAAGAGAAGGUGAAGACGAGGAUUCAGAGGAAGAAGGAAUACUUCUCUAGGACCAAAAGGGUCCUUUUUAUUAAUUUUAAUGGGCUCAAUUUAGGAAUUAUACAAAUAUAUUUUCCUCUAAUUAGACGAUUGCAUUC
RNAcentral lists this long non-coding RNA (243 nucleotides) under Elaeis guineensis (African oil palm). Its description in RNAcentral is "long non-coding RNA (EGUI_LNC077794)". Lineage: Eukaryota; Viridiplantae; Streptophyta; Magnoliopsida; Arecales; Arecaceae. The record is from RNAcentral.